GAGUGUGAGAGCGAGAACAGCCCCGCAGGUCCCGAGGCGCUGGCUGGGGACACUGCCGCGGAAAGUUCCCAGUCCCCAGCCGCAGAUCUGCAGAGUUGAAAUGAAAUGUUUUGAGCUCUUCAAGCUGACUCGUCAGAAUCCUGGAGCCUUUUAAAAAAUGACGAAUUGGAAGAAAAAAAUUACUUUAUCAAUAACCAGACUCCACCAGGAUUGACCAAGAUGUUUGUUCCUGGCACUUGUCAUUCUCAGCAAGCACAGCACAGAGAGCAAAUACAAAAGGCCCAAAAUGCAAUGCAUCUUUUAUGGGUAAGCAUGAAAUAGGUUUAUCUGUGGUGGUGUAGUCCAACUUGAGAGGUGGGAAGACAAGGCUUUGGAACCAAUGCCACAAACAUUGUGUUAGUUUUUGUUCAUCUGUAGUAAAAAGUGAAUGCUGACUAGAAUUUCUGGGAAGAUUUAUAGCAUAUGCAAUUUUAAGUAUUCAGGUAACUCUUUAGUUACUGUGUUUUAAUCGUUGAAGCCCAUCAGAGAACAAACCAAUCCUUGUUCUUGGGAUUGAAAAUACUAGAUAUCCCAUCAAGCACCAUUAUCUUGAUAUUUAAAGUAGAAAUAUGCUUCUCCAUUUUGUUUAACCUAGUUAAUAUUGGGGUGGCUUCACAUUUCAGUGCCUUUUCAGUUAUCAAGCAGGGCCAACAUUUUGUUAAACUCUAAACAGUGAAUUAAAAGCACUGAAUGAGCUGAAGCAACCCUCUAAUGCAAAAUGACAAAUUGCACUUAAGCGAUACAUGAACAAAAAAUGAUUUAUGGAUUUUUACAAUGGUCCGAGCAAAUGAAAGCAACAUGAAUUAUACAUCCUAAUGCUCACAAUAUCAUUUUCUAAUAAUACUGUUUUAGUUCAGAUGCUAUACUCUGCUCCUUUCUGUAACAGAAAUUAAUCAAUAAGAGGUCCAGGAAUGUUUUUAAAUUGGGCACUGGUUUGUGAUACUGAUUCCAAAGUGUGUGUGUGUAUGUAUACAUAUGCAUAUAUAUAUAUGUGCGUGCAUACAUUUUUAUUUUGGUUUUGGGGAGGUGGGUUGAUGACGAAUAUUGAACAUGCAUUCUUGUCAGAUUCGUCACAUAUUGUGUCUUUUGGUAGUAAAUAGUCCUUUGAAAACUUUUGUUUUUUCCAUACCAUCUUUAAGAAUGUGAAUAAAUAGAUCUCAUUCAAAAUGACAGUCUUUAUUGCCACAUGAAUUCUUUCUUUAUAAAUUAAAAUGCAUUACCUCAUCUUACUCUUUUCUUCCAUUACUUUGGAUAUUAAAACAUCUUAUUUCUCCAAAAUGUCUCUUAACCUUUUCAUAUUUGUUUUAUCCUCUCUUUUUCAGAUCAUUGUUUUAUACUUUAGCGCAUUAGAAACAUACCUGGGCUAGUGAAAAGGUCAUAGCACCUUAGUUUUGUAGCCUUAGUAGAUAAAAUAUACCCUAUGGGUUAUCUUAAAUUACAGAAAAAAAUCAGUCAAAUAAAAUUUUAUGUGCUGUUUGUGUUUUGAGUCUGAAAAAUACAAAAAUCUAGUUUCCUUUGUGUUAUGAUGAUUGACUACUCCUAGCAUUUUUAUUUAACCAUUUGUGGUUUGUAUAAGUGGAUAAUUUUUGGUAGGUAUGUAGAUUUUAAGUGAAGGUGGUGUCUGUGCUGUGUUGCAUCCUCAACCACAGGAAACUGCUAAUCACCCAGAGGCCUCUAAAGUCACAUUAUUAGGCUUAAUCUUAAUUAUCUGGGUUUAUUAAAAAAAAAAAAAAAA
This 1774-nucleotide long non-coding RNA is filed under the name Macaca fascicularis (crab-eating macaque). RNAcentral's name for it is "lncRNA (ENSMFAG00000061483.1)". Lineage: Eukaryota; Metazoa; Chordata; Mammalia; Primates; Cercopithecidae. The record is from RNAcentral.